CCUACGGGGGGCAGCAGUGGGGAAUAUUGGACAAUGGGGGGAACCCUGAUCCAGCCAUGCCGCGUGUGUGAAGAAGGCCCUCGGGUUGUAAAGCACUUUCAGUGAGGAAGAACGCCUGGUGGUUAAUACCCAUCAGGAAAGACAUCACUCACAGAAGAAGCACCGGCUAACUCCGUGCCAGCAGCCGCGGUAAUACGGAGGGUGCGAGCGUUAAUCGGAAUUACUGGGCGUAAAGCGCGCGUAGGUGGCUUGAUAAGCCGGUUGUGAAAGCCCCGGGCUCAACCUGGGAACGGCAUCCGGAACUGUCAAGCUAGAGUGUAGGAGAGGAAGGUAGAAUUCCCGGUGUAGCGGUGAAAUGCGUAGAGAUCGGGAGGAAUACCAGUGGCGAAGGCGGCCUUCUGGACUGACACUGACACUGAGGUGCGAAAGCGUGGGUAGCAAACAGGAUUAGAUACCCGAGUAGUC
This 465-nucleotide ribosomal RNA is filed under the name Vreelandella stevensii. Its description in RNAcentral is "partial 16S ribosomal RNA". It matches the Rfam family "Bacterial small subunit ribosomal RNA", at positions 338 to 795 of the family's 1533-position model. Lineage: Bacteria; Pseudomonadati; Pseudomonadota; Gammaproteobacteria; Oceanospirillales; Halomonadaceae. The record is from RNAcentral.